This 72-nucleotide transfer RNA is filed under the name Candidatus Cytomitobacter primus. It matches the Rfam family "tRNA". Rfam says of the family: Transfer RNA (tRNA) molecules are approximately 80 nucleotides in length. Lineage: Bacteria; Pseudomonadati; Pseudomonadota; Alphaproteobacteria; Holosporales; Holosporaceae. The record is from Rfam by way of RNAcentral.
GAGUGUAUAGCUCAGCGGUAGAGCGCUACGUUGACAUCGUAGAGGUCGUAGGUUCAAACCCUAUUGCACUCA